GGAUUGCCUCAGUAACGGCGAGUGAAGCGGCAAAAGCUCAAAUUUGAAAUCUAGCACUUUCAGUGUUCGAGUUGUAAUUUGAAGAAGGUAACUUUGGUUUUGGCUCUUGUCUAUGUUCCUUGGAACAGGACGUCACAGAGGGUGAGAAUCCCGUGCGAUGAGAUGCCCAAUUCCAUGUAAAGUGCUUUCGAAGAGUCGAGUUGUUUGGGAAUGCAGCUCUAAGUGGGUGGUAAAUUCCAUCUAAAGCUAAAUAUUGGCGAGAGACCGAUAGCGAACAAGUACAGUGAUGGAAAGAUGAAAAGAACUUUGAAAAGAGAGUGAAAAAGUACGUGAAAUUGUUGAAAGGGAAGGGCUUGAGAUCAGACUUGGUAUUUUGCGUUCCCUUCCUUUUUGGUUGGGUUCCUCGCAGUUUACUGGGCCAGCAUCGGUUUGGAUGGUAGGAUAAUGACAUUGGAAUGUAGCUUUACUUCGGUGAAGUGUUAUAGACUUUGUUGAUACUGCCUAUCUAGACCGAGGACUGCGUCUUUGACUAGGAUGCUGGCGUAAUG
This 548-nucleotide ribosomal RNA is filed under the name Dujonia zeylanoides. RNAcentral describes it as "eukaryotic LSU rRNA". It matches the Rfam family "Eukaryotic large subunit ribosomal RNA", at positions 72 to 636 of the family's 3401-position model. Lineage: Eukaryota; Fungi; Ascomycota; Pichiomycetes; Serinales; Debaryomycetaceae. The record is from RNAcentral. RNAcentral also lists the same sequence under 1 other name.